RNAcentral lists this unclassified non-coding RNA (1194 nucleotides) under Hevea brasiliensis (rubber tree). The record is from RNAcentral. Lineage: Eukaryota; Viridiplantae; Streptophyta; Magnoliopsida; Malpighiales; Euphorbiaceae.
CUAUCGACCAUUUUAUUGUUUUACAUAAUAUAUCAUGCAACUCACUUAGAUUAUCCAUUUUUCCUGAAGUAACAUUUUAGUCAAGAGCCAUUAAAUCUUCUUUGGAACUGUGACAAUAACCACUAACUCUAAAUUACUCUCUUGAAUGGAGGAUGUCGUCAUUGCCAACACAGUCCCUUUUUCCACUGACGAGACAAUGCGAUAUGACACAUGAAUCGGCUUCCCUCCUGUCAGAGUCAUCUCUUCGAGCCCGAACUCAUCCCACCAAGCAAGAUCUAUAGUUCCAUUAAAACUUUUGUCGGACUUAGACAAAGCAUCUUUAGUGUAUGUCGUAACCUCCAUGUUCUUGUCACUAACAAGGAGAGAAAACUCAUGUAUCAUCCUCCCAUCUAGCCUCGCCAAUGUCUCCUUGAUACAAUGGGUGAUGAGAAUGUUGUAUCCUAUUGUAUGAUCCCCAGAAGGUCCACGGACUUUGAAGAGCAUGGUUGUGUUGGUGGUGGUGGUAGUGAAGUCCGAGGGGUUUACCUUUUGGAUUGUUUGCAUGAGCUUUUUGAAGUAGUCCAUAUGAAAUAUGGGGGUCUUGGAGAGCUUUCCCUGAGAUAACAUUUGGUUAUGGAUCAUCAUCCAUUCUUUGAGAAAUUUGAUAAACAUAAGGGGAUCGGCUAGGAGGAGGUUGCAACUUAUCCCAAUAGAAUACCCAUCACCUUGGAAUUCUGUCACCUGAAUGAAGAACAAAGCGGAGAAGUUGGGAUUCUCUUCAUCCACGUCCUGCCAGUAACACAGCUGAGCCUCCACCCCAUCUCUGUCCUCCGAUCCCAACACCUCCUCCAGUGUAGUCUCUACCGCCGCCUCCACCAGCCUCACCCCAGCAUCAUUGUACUUCAACUCCCAGUACCCCUCCCGCUCCCCUUCCCGCCUGAGCCGCCCCGCGAGGACCGGGCGCUCCGACAGCGCUGCACUCAGAGACUCCUUGAUCCACGCAGCCACUAUCCGCGCCGAAUCUUCCUUGCCGGAGACGCGGUAGUAGAGGACGAUGCGGAGGCGACUCUGGAUCGUCGCUGGCAGGAGGGUGUCGGUGAGGGUGAGCCGCCGGGAUUGGCCAGGCGGCGUCACCUUUGUCGGCAUGACGGAUUGUAUUGAGAUGAUGCGUGGGAUUGGCAUGGCGGUGGCGGUGGCGGCCAUGCUGAACUGAGA